This 247-nucleotide ribosomal RNA is filed under the name uncultured Afipia sp. RNAcentral describes it as "partial 16S ribosomal RNA". It matches the Rfam family "Bacterial small subunit ribosomal RNA", at positions 796 to 1041 of the family's 1533-position model. The record is from RNAcentral. Lineage: Bacteria; Pseudomonadati; Pseudomonadota; Alphaproteobacteria; Hyphomicrobiales; Nitrobacteraceae.
CACGCCGUAAACGAUGAAUGCCAGCCGUUGGAAAGUUUACUUUUCAGUGGCGCAGCUAACGCUUUAAGCAUUCCGCCUGGGGAGUACGGUCGCAAGAUUAAAACUCAAAGGAAUUGACGGGGGCCCGCACAAGCGGUGGAGCAUGUGGUUUAAUUCGACGCAACGCGCAGAACCUUACCAGCCCUUGACAUGUCUAGGACCGGCACCAGAGAUGGAGCCUUCUCUUCGGAGCCUAGAGCACAGGUGC